UUGGCUGAGGCGGCACAUCUGUUAAACAAUAACGCAGGUGUCCUAAGGAGGACUCAUGGAGAACAGAACUGUCCAGUAGAACAGUAAAAGUCCAUUUAAUUUUGUUUUUCAGUGUG
RNAcentral lists this non-coding RNA (116 nucleotides) under Tilletiaria anomala UBC 951. Its description in RNAcentral is "Eukaryotic large subunit ribosomal RNA". It matches the Rfam family "Eukaryotic large subunit ribosomal RNA", at positions 2621 to 2741 of the family's 3401-position model. Lineage: Eukaryota; Fungi; Basidiomycota; Exobasidiomycetes; Georgefischeriales; Tilletiariaceae. The record is from Rfam by way of RNAcentral.